This 253-nucleotide ribosomal RNA is filed under the name uncultured bacterium. Its description in RNAcentral is "partial 16S ribosomal RNA". It matches the Rfam family "Bacterial small subunit ribosomal RNA", at positions 524 to 776 of the family's 1533-position model. The record is from RNAcentral.
UACGUAGGGUGCGAGCGUUGUCCGGAAUUAUUGGGCGUAAAGAGCUCGUAGGCGGUUUGUCGCGUCGGCCGUGAAAUCUCCACGCUUAACGUGGAGCGUGCGGUCGAUACGGGCAGACUUGAGUUCGGUAGGGGAGACUGGAAUUCCUGGUGUAGCGGUGAAAUGCGCAGAUAUCAGGAGGAACACCGGUGGCGAAGGCGGGUCUCUGGGACGAUACUGACGCUGAGGAGCGAAAGCGUGGGGAGCGAACAGG